Molecule: unclassified non-coding RNA, 200 nt
Filed under: soil metagenome
Description: partial contains internal transcribed spacer 2 and large subunit ribosomal RNA
Source: RNAcentral
UACCCUGUUCGAGCGUCAUUUACACCCCUCAAAGAUAACUUUUUGGCGUUGGGCAAUGCCUAAAGGCAUGCCUCAAAAUCAGCGAUGGUGAUAUUCAACCACAGGCGCACAAACGUCGUCUAGCUGGCGGGAUGUUGUCAGUCAAUUGAUGAAUUUCUAAUGUUGACCUCGGAUCAGGUAGGAAUACCCGCUGAACUUAA